This 602-nucleotide ribosomal RNA is filed under the name Aurantiochytrium limacinum. RNAcentral describes it as "partial Bacterial large subunit ribosomal RNA". It matches the Rfam family "Bacterial large subunit ribosomal RNA", at positions 801 to 1404 of the family's 2925-position model. The record is from RNAcentral. Lineage: Eukaryota; Bigyra; Thraustochytrida; Thraustochytriidae.
GGGAUGAGCUGUGGAUAGGGGUGAAAGGCCAAUCAAACUUCGUGAUAGCUGGUUCUCUCCGAAAUGCAUUUAGGUGCAGCGUCGUAUUAUAGCUUGGUGGAGGUAGAGCGACUGGUUGGUUGAGCGGGACUACAAUCUUAGCAAUGUCAGCCAAACUCCGAAUGCCAGUGAAGUCAGAAUACGGCAGUGAGACUGCGGGGGAUAAGCUCCGUGGGUCGAGAGGGAAACAGCCCAGAUCGCCGGCUAAGGUCCCCAAGUCGUGGCUAAGUGGGAAAGGAUGUGGGACUCCCAAAACAACCAGGAGGUUGGCUUAGAAGCAGCCAUCCUUGAAAGAGUGCGUAAUAGCUCACUGGUCGAGUGGUUCUGCGCCGACAAUGUAGCGGGGCUCAAGUACACCGCCGAAGCCGCGGCAAACAUUUUGUUUGGGUAGGGGAGCGUCGUGCAUGGGUUGAAGCGUUACCGUAAGGAGGCGUGGACUGUGUGCGAGUGAGAAUGCAGGCAUGAGUAACGAAUGAUAUGUGGAAAACAUAUCCGCCGGAUGACUAAGGGUUCCUGGGUCAAGUUCGUCUUCCCAGGGUGAGUCGGGACCUAAGGCGAGGCCG